Molecule: unclassified non-coding RNA, 304 nt
Filed under: Hevea brasiliensis (rubber tree)
Lineage: Eukaryota; Viridiplantae; Streptophyta; Magnoliopsida; Malpighiales; Euphorbiaceae
Source: RNAcentral
GCUAUCCUUUUUCUUUCUUCACCAAAUUCAAACUCUUUCUCUCUCGUCUUUGAGUUUUCGCCAGUAAAUUCUGAAGCCCAAUUGCGAAGGACACGAUCGAAUUUGGGAAUGGCAGCGAAACAAAUGGAAGAAAUACAGAAGAAAUUGGCUACAUUGAAUUACCCAAGAGCCAAUGCUCCUGCUCAGUCCCUUCUCUUUGCCGGCAUGGAGCGAUACGCUCUUCUUGAAUGGCUUUUCUUCAAGUUAUUAGGGGAUAAGUCGCCAUUUUCUCAGCAAAAUCUACAAGGGGAUGCUGUGGAUCGCG